UUGUUGGAAGCCAAAUAGAGGCUUAUCACUGUUAAUGAUAGAAUUGGAAUAAUCAUUCCCUAACAAG
RNAcentral lists this transfer RNA (67 nucleotides) under Matuta planipes. Its description in RNAcentral is "tRNA-Asn". Lineage: Eukaryota; Metazoa; Arthropoda; Malacostraca; Decapoda; Matutidae. The record is from RNAcentral.